RNAcentral lists this ribosomal RNA (450 nucleotides) under uncultured bacterium. Its description in RNAcentral is "partial 16S ribosomal RNA". It matches the Rfam family "Bacterial small subunit ribosomal RNA", at positions 354 to 796 of the family's 1533-position model. The record is from RNAcentral.
GUGGGGAAUAUUGGACAAUGGGCGAAAGCCCGAUCCAGCCAUGCCGCGUGUGUGAAGAAGGUCUUCGGAUUGUAAAGCACUUUAAGUUGGGAGGAAGGGCAGUAAGUUAAUACCUUGCUGUUUUGACGUUACCGACAGAAUAAGCACCGGCUAACUUCGUGCCAGCAGCCGCGGUAAUACGAAGGGUGCAAGCGUUAAUCGGAAUUACUGGGCGUAAAGCGCGCGUAGGUGGUUCGUUAAGUUGGAUGUGAAAGCCCCGGGCUCAACCUGGGAACUGCAUCCAAAACUGGCGAGCUAGAGUACGGUAGAGGGUGGUGGAAUUUCCUGUGUAGCGGUGAAAUGCGUAGAUAUAGGAAGGAACACCAGUGGCGAAGGCGACCACCUGGACUGAUACUGACACUGAGGCGCGAAAGCGUGGGGAGCAAACAGGAUUAGAUACCCUGGUAGUCC